UGAGUACGAGCUGCUACGGCAGCGAAGUGGGUGACGUCAAGCUUCCAAGAAAAGCCCUACACCCGUUAAGGCAUGAUGGCCUGUACCCGAAACCGACACAGGUGGGGUGGUAGAGAAUACCGAGGGGCGCGAGGUAACUCUCUCCAAGGAACUCGGCAAAAUGGCCCCGUAACUUCGGGAGAAGGGGUGCCACCGCAAGGUGGUCGCAGUGAAGAGGCCCAGGCGACUGUUUACCAAAAACACAGGUCUCCGCUAAGUCGCAAGACGAUGUAUGGGGGCUGACGCCUGCCCAGUGCCGGAAGGUUAAGGAAGCUGGUCAGCGCAAGCGAAGCUGGCGACUGAAGCCCCGGUGAACGGCGGCCGUAACUAUAACGGUCCUAAGGUAGCGAAAUUCCUUGUCGGGUAAGUUCCGACCCGCACGAAAGGCGUAACGAUCUGGGCGCUGUCUCGGAGAGAGGCUCGGCGAAAUAGAAUUGUCUGUGAAGAUGCGGACUACGUGCACCCGGACAGAAAGACCCUAUGAAGCUUUACUGUAGCUUGGUAUUGUGCCCGGGCUCUGAAUGCGCAGGAUAGGUGGGAGGCUUUGAUCCAUUGCUUGUGGGUGAUGGUGAGCCAACGGUGAGAUACCACUCUUUCAGAGCUAGGGUUCUAACGGUCACCCGUUAUCCGGGGACCGGACAGUAUCAGGUGGGCAGUUUGACUAGGGCGGUCGCCUCCUAAAAGGUAACGGAGGCGCGCAAAGGUUCCCUCAGGCUGGUUGGAAAUCAGCCGAUGAGUGUAAAGGCAGAAGGGAGCUUGACUGUGAGACCUACAAGUCGAACAGGGACGAAAGUCGGCCUUAGUGAUCCGACGGUUCUGAGUGGAAGGGCCGUCGCUCAACGGAUAAAAGUUACUCUAAGGAUAACAGGCUGAUCUCCCCCAAGAGUUCACAUCGACGGGGAGGUUUGGCACCUCGAUGUCGGCUCAUCGCAACCUGGGGCUGAAGUCGGUCCCAAGGGUUGGGCUGUUCGCCCAUUAAAGCGGUACGCGAGCUGGGUUCAGAACGUCGUGAGACAGUUCGGUCCAUAUCCGGUGCAUGCGCAGGAAUAUUGAGAGGAUUUCUCCCUAGUACGAGAGGACCGGGAGGAACGCACCUCUGGUGUACCAGUUAUCGUGCCAACGGUAAACGCUGGGUAGCCAUGUGCGGAGUGGAUAACCGCUGAAAGUAUCUAAGUGGGAAGCCCACCUCAAGAUGAGUAUUCCCAUGGCGUUAGCCAGUAAGGUCACGGGCAGAACACCCGUUGAUAGGCUCUACGUGGAAGCCGGGUAACCGGUGAAGCGGAGGAGUACUAAUAGACCGAGGGCUUGAC
This 1349-nucleotide ribosomal RNA is filed under the name metagenome. Its description in RNAcentral is "bacterial LSU rRNA". It matches the Rfam family "Bacterial large subunit ribosomal RNA", at positions 1564 to 2925 of the family's 2925-position model. The record is from RNAcentral.